CCUACGGGAGGCAGCAGUGAGGAAUAUUGGUCAAUGGGCUUACGCCUGAACCAGCCAAGUCGCGUGAGGGAAGACUGCCCUAUGGGUUGUAAACCUCUUUUGUCAGGGAGCAACGCCGGCUACGUGUAGCCGGACUGAGAGUACCUGAAGAAAAAGCAUCGGCUAACUCCGUGCCAGCAGCCGCGGUAAUACAUAGGGGGCAAGCGUUAUCCGGAAUUAUUGGGUGUAAAGGGUGCGUAGACGGAAGAACAAGUUGGUUGUGAAAUCCCUCGGCUCAACUGAGGAACUGCAACCAAAACUAUUCU
This 305-nucleotide ribosomal RNA is filed under the name uncultured bacterium. Its description in RNAcentral is "bacterial SSU rRNA". It matches the Rfam family "Bacterial small subunit ribosomal RNA", at positions 338 to 639 of the family's 1533-position model. The record is from RNAcentral.